RNAcentral lists this ribosomal RNA (2789 nucleotides) under Escherichia coli. RNAcentral describes it as "bacterial LSU rRNA". It matches the Rfam family "Bacterial large subunit ribosomal RNA". The record is from RNAcentral. Lineage: Bacteria; Pseudomonadati; Pseudomonadota; Gammaproteobacteria; Enterobacterales; Enterobacteriaceae.
AGCGUACACGGUGGAUGCCCUGGCAGUCAGAGGCGAUGAAGGACGUGCUAAUCUGCGAUAAGCGUCGGUAAGGUGAUAUGAACCGUUAUAACCGGCGAUUUCCGAAUGGGGAAACCCAGUGUGAUUCGUCACACUAUCAUUAACUGAAUCCAUAGGUUAAUGAGGCGAACCGGGGGAACUGAAACAUCUAAGUACCCCGAGGAAAAGAAAUCAACCGAGAUUCCCCCAGUAGCGGCGAGCGAACGGGGAGCAGCCCAGAGCCUGAAUCAGUGUGUGUGUUAGUGGAAGCGUCUGGAAAGGCGCGCGAUACAGGGUGACAGCCCCGUACACAAAAAUGCACAUACUGUGAGCUCGAUGAGUAGGGCGGGACACGUGGUAUCCUGUCUGAAUAUGGGGGGACCAUCCUCCAAGGCUAAAUACUCCUGACUGACCGAUAGUGAACCAGUACCGUGAGGGAAAGGCGAAAAGAACCCCGGCGAGGGGAGUGAAAAAGAACCUGAAACCGUGUACGUACAAGCAGUGGGAGCACAGAGCAAUCUGUGUGACUGCGUACCUUUUGUAUAAUGGGUCAGCGACUUAUAUUCUGUAGCAAGGUUAACCGAAUAGGGGAGCCGAAGGGAAACCGAGUCUUAACUGGGCGUUAAGUUGCAGGGUAUAGACCCGAAACCCGGUGAUCUAGCCAUGGGCAGGUUGAAGGUUGGGUAACACUAACUGGAGGACCGAACCGACUAAUGUUGAAAAAUUAGCGGAUGACUUGUGGCUGGGGGUGAAAGGCCAAUCAAACCGGGAGAUAGCUGGUUCUCCCCGAAAGCUAUUUAGGUAGCGCCUCGUGAAUUCAUCUCCGGGGGUAGAGCACUGUUUCGGCAAGGGGGUCAUCCCGACUUACCAACCCGAUGCAAACUGCGAAUACCGGAGAAUGUUAUCACGGGAGACACACGGCGGGUGCUAACGUCCGUCGUGAAGAGGGAAACAACCCAGACCGCCAGCUAAGGUCCCAAAGUCAUGGUUAAGUGGGAAACGAUGUGGGAAGGCCCAGACAGCCAGGAUGUUGGCUUAGAAGCAGCCAUCAUUUAAAGAAAGCGUAAUAGCUCACUGGUCGAGUCGGCCUGCGCGGAAGAUGUAACGGGGCUAAACCAUGCACCGAAGCUGCGGCAGCGACGCUGAUGCGUUGUUGGGUAGGGGAGCGUUCUGUAAGCCUGUGAAGGUGUGCUGUGAGGCAUGCUGGAGGUAUCAGAAGUGCGAAUGCUGACAUAAGUAACGAUAAAGCGGGUGAAAAGCCCGCUCGCCGGAAGACCAAGGGUUCCUGUCCAACGUUAAUCGGGGCAGGGUGAGUCGACCCCUAAGGCGAGGCCGAAAGGCGUAGUCGAUGGGAAACAGGUUAAUAUUCCUGUACUUGGUGUUACUGCGAAGGGGGGACGGAGAAGGCUAUGUUGGCCGGGCGACGGUUGUCCCGGUUUAAGCGUGUAGGCUGGUUUUCCAGGCAAAUCCGGAAAAUCAAGGCUGAGGCGUGAUGACGAGGCACUACGGUGCUGAAGCAACAAAUGCCCUGCUUCCAGGAAAAGCCUCUAAGCAUCAGGUAACAUCAAAUCGUACCCCAAACCGACACAGGUGGUCAGGUAGAGAAUACCAAGGCGCUUGAGAGAACUCGGGUGAAGGAACUAGGCAAAAUGGUGCCGUAACUUCGGGAGAAGGCACGCUGAUAUGUAGGUGAAGUCCCUCGCGGAUGGAGCUGAAAUCAGUCGAAGAUACCAGCUGGCUGCAACUGUUUAUUAAAAACACAGCACUGUGCAAACACGAAAGUGGACGUAUACGGUGUGACGCCUGCCCGGUGCCGGAAGGUUAAUUGAUGGGGUUAGCGCAAGCGAAGCUCUUGAUCGAAGCCCCGGUAAACGGCGGCCGUAACUAUAACGGUCCUAAGGUAGCGAAAUUCCUUGUCGGGUAAGUUCCGACCUGCACGAAUGGCGUAAUGAUGGCCAGGCUGUCUCCACCCGAGACUCAGUGAAAUUGAACUCGCUGUGAAGAUGCAGUGUACCCGCGGCAAGACGGAAAGACCCCGUGAACCUUUACUAUAGCUUGACACUGAACAUUGAGCCUUGAUGUGUAGGAUAGGUGGGAGGCUUUGAAGUGUGGACGCCAGUCUGCAUGGAGCCGACCUUGAAAUACCACCCUUUAAUGUUUGAUGUUCUAACGUUGACCCGUAAUCCGGGUUGCGGACAGUGUCUGGUGGGUAGUUUGACUGGGGCGGUCUCCUCCUAAAGAGUAACGGAGGAGCACGAAGGUUGGCUAAUCCUGGUCGGACAUCAGGAGGUUAGUGCAAUGGCAUAAGCCAGCUUGACUGCGAGCGUGACGGCGCGAGCAGGUGCGAAAGCAGGUCAUAGUGAUCCGGUGGUUCUGAAUGGAAGGGCCAUCGCUCAACGGAUAAAAGGUACUCCGGGGAUAACAGGCUGAUACCGCCCAAGAGUUCAUAUCGACGGCGGUGUUUGGCACCUCGAUGUCGGCUCAUCACAUCCUGGGGCUGAAGUAGGUCCCAAGGGUAUGGCUGUUCGCCAUUUAAAGUGGUACGCGAGCUGGGUUUAGAACGUCGUGAGACAGUUCGGUCCCUAUCUGCCGUGGGCGCUGGAGAACUGAGGGGGGCUGCUCCUAGUACGAGAGGACCGGAGUGGACGCAUCACUGGUGUUCGGGUUGUCAUGCCAAUGGCACUGCCCGGUAGCUAAAUGCGGAAGAGAUAAGUGCUGAAAGCAUCUAAGCACGAAACUUGCCCCGAGAUGAGUUCUCCCUGACUCCUUGA